RNAcentral lists this non-coding RNA (210 nucleotides) under Dialister sp. Its description in RNAcentral is "T-box sequence". It matches the Rfam family "T-box leader". From Rfam's summary of the family: Uncharged tRNA acts as the effector for transcription antitermination of genes in the T-box leader family. T-boxes are found upstream of many aminoacyl-tRNA synthetase genes and some amino acid biosynthetic genes usually in Gram-positive bacteria. Lineage: Bacteria; Bacillati; Bacillota; Negativicutes; Veillonellales; Veillonellaceae. The record is from RNAcentral.
AGAAAGACAGGGACAGGAAAUAGUAGAGAGACUGCUCGCUUAUAGAGAGCCAUUGGAAGGUGGGAAAUGGCAGGAGCAUUUCAUCGAACUCAUCCUCGAGUCGCAGGCUGAAGAGAGUAGGCCUCGCCGGAACCUGACCGUUAUCAGACAGAGUGCAUAUUUCUGCAGAAAUAUGAAUAAGAGUGGUACCGCGAAUCUUUCGUCUCUUGC